Molecule: ribosomal RNA, 484 nt
Filed under: uncultured bacterium
Lineage: Bacteria
Description: partial 16S ribosomal RNA
Rfam family: Bacterial small subunit ribosomal RNA
Source: RNAcentral
AUUGAACGCUGGCGGCAGGCCUAACACAUGCAAGUCGAGCGGACGAAGGGAGCUUGCUCCUGUAUUCAGCUGCGGACGGGUGAGUAAUGCCUAGGAAUCUGCCUGGUAGUGGGGGAUAACGUCCGGACACGGGCGCUAAUACCGCAUACGUCCUGAGGGAGAAAGUGGUGGAUCUUCGGACCUCACGCUAUCAGAUGAGCCUAGGUCGGAUUAGCUAGUUGGUGAGGUAACGGCCUACCAAGGCAACGAUCCGUAACUGGCCUGAGAGGGUGAUCGGCCACACUGGAACUGAGACACGGUCCAGACUCCUACGGGAGGCAGCAGUAGGGAAUCUUGCGCAAUGGGCGAAAGCCUGACGGAGCAACGCCGCGUGAGUGAUGAAGGUCUUCGGAUCGUAAAACUCUUUUAUUAGGGAAGAAGAAAUGUGUAAGUAACUAUGCACGUCUUGACGUUACCUAAUCAGAAAGCCACGGCUAACUACGUG